UAUGAACACCCCCUUUUUUUGUUCACUUUCCUAUUAUUAUUCCCAUAAUUUGUUAACCACAAAAAACAUAUUAAAUUAGAAUGAGUGGAGCAUCAUCACUCCUUGGCCGGCCACCAUGUAUUUUAUGGGUAAUUUGACAUGCAAAGCCAUGCUUCCUCUCCCUAUUAUUAAUUACUCCUUAUAAUUCAUCUAUCAUCUUUUCUAACUUCGUCAACUAGGUCCU
This 223-nucleotide long non-coding RNA is filed under the name Gossypium barbadense (sea-island cotton). Its description in RNAcentral is "long non-coding RNA (GBAR_LNC006189)". Lineage: Eukaryota; Viridiplantae; Streptophyta; Magnoliopsida; Malvales; Malvaceae. The record is from RNAcentral.